This 445-nucleotide ribosomal RNA is filed under the name uncultured Microlunatus sp. RNAcentral's name for it is "bacterial SSU rRNA". It matches the Rfam family "Bacterial small subunit ribosomal RNA", at positions 338 to 795 of the family's 1533-position model. Lineage: Bacteria; Bacillati; Actinomycetota; Actinomycetes; Propionibacteriales; Propionibacteriaceae. The record is from RNAcentral.
CCUACGGGGGGCAGCAGUGGGGAAUAUUGCGCAAUGGGCGAAAGCCUGACGCAGCAACGCCGCGUGCGGGAUGACGGCCUUCGGGUUGUAAACCGCUUUCAGCUACGACGAAGUGAAAGUGACGGUAGUAGCAGAAGAAGCGCCGGCUAACUACGUGCCAGCAGCCGCGGUGAUACGUAGGGCGCAAGCGUUGUCCGGAAUUAUUGGGCGUAAAGAGCUCGUAGGCGGUCUGUUGCGUCGGGAGUGAAAACUCAGGGCUUAACCCUGAGCCUGCUCUCGAUACGGGCAGACUUGAGGAACGUAGGGGAGAACGGAAUUCCUGGUGGAGCGGUGGAAUGCGCAGAUAUCAGGAGGAACACCGGUGGCGAAGGCGGUUCUCUGGACGUUUCCUGACGCUGAGGAGCGAAAGCGUGGGGAGCAAACAGGCUUAGAUACCCUUGUAGUC